UACGGAGGGUGCAAGCGUUAUCCGGAAUCACUGGGUUUAAAGGGUACGCAGGCGGUUAUAUAAGUCAGACGUCAAAGGCUGUGGCUAAACCACGGUACGCGUUUGAAACUGUAUAACUUGAAUAUGUUUGAAGUGUGUAGAAUGCGUCAUGUAGCGGUGAAAUGCAUAGAUAUGACGUAGAAUACCAAAAGCGAAGGCAGCACACUAAGGCAUUAUUGACGCUGAGGUACGAAAGCGUGGGUAGCGAACAGG
Molecule: ribosomal RNA, 252 nt
Filed under: uncultured bacterium
Lineage: Bacteria
Description: partial 16S ribosomal RNA
Rfam family: Bacterial small subunit ribosomal RNA
Source: RNAcentral